CCUACGGGGGGCUGCAGUGGGGAAUAUUGGACAAUGGGGGGAACCCUGAUCCAGCCAUGCCGCGUGUGCGAAGAAGGCCCUCGGGUUGUAAAGCACUUUCAGUGAGGAAGAACGCCUGGUGGUUAAUACCCAUCAGGAAAGACAUCACUCACAGAAGAAGCACCGGCUAACUCCGUGCCAGCAGCCGCGGUAAUACGGAGGGUGCGAGCGUUAAUCGGAAUUACUGGGCGUAAAGCGCGCGUAGGUGGCUUGAUAAGCCGGUUGUGAAAGCCCCGGGCUCAACCUGGGAACGGCAUCCGGAACUGUCAAGCUAGAGUGCAGGAGAGGAAGGUAGAAUUCCCGGUGUAGCGGUGAAAUGCGUAGAGAUCGGGAGGAAUACCAGUGGCGAAGGCGGCCUUCUGGACUGACACUGACACUGAGGUGCGAAAGCGUGGGUAGCAAACAGGAUUAGAUACCCGGGUAGUC
This 465-nucleotide ribosomal RNA is filed under the name Vreelandella stevensii. RNAcentral describes it as "partial 16S ribosomal RNA". It matches the Rfam family "Bacterial small subunit ribosomal RNA", at positions 338 to 795 of the family's 1533-position model. Lineage: Bacteria; Pseudomonadati; Pseudomonadota; Gammaproteobacteria; Oceanospirillales; Halomonadaceae. The record is from RNAcentral.